Molecule: ribosomal RNA, 314 nt
Filed under: uncultured bacterium
Lineage: Bacteria
Description: bacterial SSU rRNA
Rfam family: Bacterial small subunit ribosomal RNA
Source: RNAcentral
AAUCAACGCUGGCGGCGUGCCUCAGACAUGCAAGUCGAACGGUUAAAGCUCUCUUCGGAGAGUGUAUAGAGUGGCGCACGGGUGAGUAACACGUAAGUAAUCUACCUUUGAGUGGGAAUAACGUCCGGAACGGACGCUAAUACCGCAUAAUGCAGCGGCAUCGCAAGAUGACAGUUGUUAAAGAUUAUCGCUUGAAGAGGAGCUUGCGGCAGAUAGCUAGUUGGUAAGGUAAUGGCUUACCAAGGCUACGAUCUGUAACCGGUCUAAGAGGACGGUCGGUCACACUGACACUGAAUAACGGGUCAGACUCCUAC